This 855-nucleotide ribosomal RNA is filed under the name uncultured Sunxiuqinia sp. RNAcentral's name for it is "bacterial SSU rRNA". It matches the Rfam family "Bacterial small subunit ribosomal RNA", at positions 632 to 1501 of the family's 1533-position model. The record is from RNAcentral. Lineage: Bacteria; Pseudomonadati; Bacteroidota; Bacteroidia; Marinilabiliales; Prolixibacteraceae.
ACUGCUGGGCUUGAGUACAGUUGAGGUAGGCGGAAUGUGUAGUGUAGCGGUGAAAUGCUUAGAUAUUACACAGAACCCCGAUUGCGAAGGCAGCUUACUAAACUGUAACUGACACUGAGGUACGAAAGCGUGGGGAGCGAACAGGAUUAGAUACCCUGGUAGUCCACGCCGUAAACGAUGCUCACUCGCUGUAUGCGAUACACAGUAUGCGGCCAAGCGAAAGUAUUAAGUGAGCCACCUGGGGAGUACGUUGGCAACAGUGAAACUCAAAGGAAUUGACGGGGGCCCGCACAAGCGGAGGAACAUGUGGUUUUAUUCGAUGAUACGCGAGGAACCUUACCUGGGCUUAAAUGCAGGACGACAGGCGUCGAAAGAUGCUUUUCCUCGGACGGCUUGCAAGGUGCUGCAUGGUUGUCGUCAGCUCGUGCCGUGAGGUGUCGGGUUAAGUCCCAUAACGAGCGCAACCCUUACCGUUAGUUACCAUCAGGUUAUGCUGGGGACUCUAGCGGGACUGCCACCGUAAGGUGAGAGGAAGGUGGGGAUGACGUCAAAUCAGCACGGCCCUUAUGUCCAGGGCUACACACGUGUUACAAUGGCCAGUACAAAGGGCAGCUACCAGGCGACUGGAUGCUAAUCUCUAAAGCUGGUCUCAGUUCGGAUCGAAGUCUGCAACCCGACUUCGUGAAGCUGGAUUCGCUAGUAAUCGCGCAUCAGCCAUGGCGCGGUGAAUACGUUCCCGGGCCUUGUACACACCGCCCGUCAAACCAUGGAAGCUGGGGGUACCUGAAGUCUGUGACCGCAAGGAGCGGCCUAGGGUAAAACUAGUGACUGGGGUUAAGUCGUAACAAGGUAACC